This 1133-nucleotide long non-coding RNA is filed under the name Bos indicus x Bos taurus (hybrid cattle). Its description in RNAcentral is "lncRNA (ENSBIXG00000012142.1)". The record is from RNAcentral. Lineage: Eukaryota; Metazoa; Chordata; Mammalia; Artiodactyla; Bovidae.
AGCCCAUCAGGGUCUUUCCCGCCUUCUCCGCCGCCGGCUCAGCUUCGGUGUUGGUGGGCCGGUCUGCGGGCCACCCCCUCACCAUUCCUGUUGUGGGGCCCACACCAGCAACUCGCAGACUCCUGUUCCCUGUGCAGCCGACGUCUCUGCUGUCCCCACCCCCACCCUGCGGUCCCACUGCCAACAGCGUCUCCUCAGCGCAACGCUCAGCCCGGCGGCCGCCAUCUUCCCCGCAGACAUCACUGCAGGACGAUCACUGUCUGGCACGUCUCUCCUGCCAUGUCUGCCACAGAGGAGCACGACUGGAUCCCAGGUGGCCCGGAUAGAGCUGGUGGCGGGGCGGGCCGCGACCCCAGUCUCCUUGGGGUCCAAGCAUCUGCUUGCGAGGGGACGGAAGGAGUCGAGGUGGCCACGGCUCUUCUGGCUUCCUUGGAGGUCUCCAGAGCCCUUCCCGCGGAGCAGGGUUGGCCACAAGCCCCAGUGGAAGAGGAAUGCGGUAGAGAGCCGUUAGAGGAGUUGGAGAUGGAGGAAGGUGUAGAGAUGCAGGAGGACGAGGAAGAGGGUGAGGCUGACUUCGACUUGGAGGACGUGGAGGAGGAGGAGCACCUGUCUGGAGAGGGCGAGGAAGAGGAGGACGAGAGUGAGCAGGAGGGUGCGGCAGAGGUUACAGGCCUUGGGUUCUGCGUGGAGACGUUUGGGCCCCUGUUCUGGAGUCACGUCGACUCCUUUCUACACAACUUCCGUGACAACAAACAUGUCCUGUUCCGGCCUCCCACUGACCGCCUGAUGGCCAGGGGCCGCUCCCAGCCACCCUCGGACCCUGGAGAAGGUCCGGUGCCUCCUCAGGAGCAGGAAGACCUGGGAGAGGGAGGCAGAGUCUUGCAGGGCCUAGACUCUGCUGCUGAUUUGAAGUUGGGAUAUUUUCCCUGCCAACUUUUGACCCCAAUGUCUGCAUCAUUCUGCCCCAAUGAUGAGGGUGAGGAUCAGUAUGAAAACACUGAUGAAGAGGAAGAGGAUGGAAAUGAAAAACCUGAAGGACUCUAAAUGGAUGUGGUCUCAGCAAAGAGCAGCUCUGGAUAAUACAGGUAUUGUUGUAUAGGCUUUAGUACGACAUAACCAUUCCUGACACAUAC